This 497-nucleotide ribosomal RNA is filed under the name uncultured bacterium. Its description in RNAcentral is "partial 16S ribosomal RNA". It matches the Rfam family "Bacterial small subunit ribosomal RNA", at positions 28 to 507 of the family's 1533-position model. The record is from RNAcentral.
GACGAACGCUGGCGGCGUGCCUAAUACAUGCAAGUUGAGCGAUGAAGCUUGGUGCUUGCUCCAAUUUGAAGAGCAGCGAACGGGUGAGUAACGCGUGGGUAAUCUGCCUUUGAGCGGGGGACAACAUUUGGAAACGAAUGCUAAUACCGCAUAACAACUUUAAACAUAAGUUUUAAGUUUGAAAGAUGCAAUUGCAUCACUCAAAGAUGAUCCCGCGUUGUAUUAGCUAGUUUGGGAGGUAAAGGCUCACCAAGGCGAUGAUACAUAGCCGACCUGAGAGGGGGAUCGGCCACAUUGGGACUGAGACACGGCCCAAACUCCUACGGGAGGCAGCAGUAGGGAAUCUUCGGCAAUGGACGAAAGUCUGACCGAGCAACGCCGCGUGAGUGAAGAAGGUUUUCGGAUCGUAAAACUCUGUUGGUAGAGAAGAACGUUGGUGAGAGUGGAAAGCUCAUCAAGUGACGGUAACUAACCAGAAAGGGACGGCUAACUACGUG